This 447-nucleotide ribosomal RNA is filed under the name uncultured bacterium. Its description in RNAcentral is "partial 16S ribosomal RNA". It matches the Rfam family "Bacterial small subunit ribosomal RNA", at positions 29 to 523 of the family's 1533-position model. The record is from RNAcentral.
AACGAACGCUGGCGGCAGGCUUAACACAUGCAAGUCGAACGCCCCGCAAGGGGAGUGGCAGACGGGUGAGUAACACGUGGGUACGUGCCCUAAGGUUUGGAAUAUUCCCGGGAAACUGGGAGCAAUACCAAAUGUGUCCGUAAGGAGAAAGGUUUAUCGCCUUAGGAUCGGCCCGCGUCAGAUUAGGUAGUUGGUGGGGUAAUGGCCUACCAAGCCGACGAUCUGUAGCUGGUCUGAGAGGACGACCAGCCAAACUGGGACUGAGACACGGCCCAGACUCCUACGGGAGGCAGCAGUGGGGAAUCUUGGACAAUGGGCGCAAGCCUGAUCCAGCCAUGCCGCGUGGAUGAUGAAGGCCCUAGGGUUGUAAAAUCCUUUCGUUGGGGACGAUAAUGACGGUACCCAAAGAAGAAGCUCCGGCUAACUUCGAGCCAGCCGCCGCCGUAA